AUAAUAAUUAGUUUUUUAAUUAAAGGCUGGAAUGAAUGAUUAGACAAAAUAAAAACUGUCUUUAAUUAAUUUUUAUUGAAUUUAAUUUUUAAGUUAAAAAGCUUAAAUUUUAUUAAAGGACGAGAAGACCCUAUAGAGUUUUAUAUUUAUUUUAAAUUAAAAUUUUAAUUUAUUUUAAGUUUAUUAUAAAUAUUUUGUUGGGGUGAUAGAUGAAUUUAAUUAACUUUUUUAUUUUUAUUUUACAUUAAUUAAUGGAAUUUUGAUCCUAAUUUUUAGAUUAUUAGAUUAAAUUACCUUAGGGAUAACAGCAUAAUUUUUUUUAAAGUUCUUAUUGAUUAAAAAGAUUGU
This 348-nucleotide ribosomal RNA is filed under the name Abia cf. lonicerae Sus10. RNAcentral's name for it is "partial 16S ribosomal RNA". The record is from RNAcentral. Lineage: Eukaryota; Metazoa; Arthropoda; Insecta; Hymenoptera; Cimbicidae.